AUAGCCAAGGAGACUGCC
This 18-nucleotide small nuclear RNA is filed under the name Arabidopsis thaliana (thale cress). RNAcentral describes it as "snRNA_18269". Lineage: Eukaryota; Viridiplantae; Streptophyta; Magnoliopsida; Brassicales; Brassicaceae. The record is from RNAcentral.